RNAcentral lists this ribosomal RNA (253 nucleotides) under uncultured bacterium. RNAcentral's name for it is "partial 16S ribosomal RNA". It matches the Rfam family "Bacterial small subunit ribosomal RNA", at positions 524 to 776 of the family's 1533-position model. The record is from RNAcentral.
UACAGAGGUCUCAAGCGUUGUUCGGAUUCAUUGGGCGUAAAGGGUGCGUAGGUGGCGGGGUCAGUCAGGUGUGAAAUCUCGGGGCUCAACCUCGAAACUGCACUUGAUACUGCCUUGCUGGAGUACUGGAGAGGAGAUUGGAAUUUACGGUGUAGCAGUGAAAUGCGUAGAUAUCGUAAGGAAGACCAGUGGCUAAGGCGAAUCUCUGGACAGUUACUGACACUGAGGCACGAAGGCCAGGGGAGCAAACGGG